GGCUCAGGAUGAACGCUAGCGACAGGCCUAACACAUGCAAGUCAGGGGCAGCACAAGGAGCAAUCUGAGGUGGCGACCGGCGCACGGGUGAGUAACACGUAUGCAACCUGCCUGUAAGCGGGGAAUAACCCGUUGAAAGACGGACUAAUACCGCAUAAUACUAAAUUACUGCAUGGUAAUUUAUUUAAACAUUUAUGGCUUACAGAUGGGCAUGCGCAUGAUUAGCUAGUUGGAGAGGUAACGGCUCCCCAAGGCAACGAUCAUUAGGGGUUCUGAGAGGAAGGUCCCCCACACUGGUACUGAGACACGGACCAGACUCCUACGGGAGGCAGCAGUGAGGAAUAUUGGUCAAUGGACGAGAGUCUGAACCAGCCAAGUCGCGUGCAGGAAGAAUGUCCUAUGGAUUGUAAACUGCUUUUGCAGGGGAAUAAAGUGCAUCACGUGUGAUGUUUUGUAUGUACUCUGCGAAUAAGGAUCGGCUAACUCCGUGCCAGCCGCCGC
RNAcentral lists this ribosomal RNA (501 nucleotides) under uncultured bacterium. RNAcentral's name for it is "bacterial SSU rRNA". It matches the Rfam family "Bacterial small subunit ribosomal RNA", at positions 21 to 518 of the family's 1533-position model. The record is from RNAcentral.